GGGACCAUAGCUCAGUGGUAGAGCAUCUGCUUUGUAUGCAGAAGACCCCAGGUUCACUCCCUGGUGGCAUCUCCA
This is a non-coding RNA of Hemicordylus capensis (graceful crag lizard), 75 nucleotides long. The record is from the annotation of a RefSeq genome assembly. NCBI's taxonomy places the organism in Eukaryota, Metazoa, Chordata, Lepidosauria, Squamata, Cordylidae.